UUUACAGGAUUUGCAUUCAGAUCUGAGGUACGCUGACUUUCCCUCGAAUGCUUCUGCAGGACAGCGUCAUGCACGCCCUGUUGCAGUAAGCUGAUUUCUUAGUCAUCAAAUGAAUGAAAACCCAGGAAUCACUGAUCAGACUGGAUGAUUAUCGAGAUCCUCGGAGGCAGAUUUCUGUUGGAUUUGUGCAACCGAGUGUCCGAUUGGCUUAUUGAUUAUUAGUCCUUUUGUUGCAGCAGACAGAGCUCGGGGGCUUUGAGACACGACGAUGAUAACCAGCUGAAUGCAGAAUAUCCGGGUCAUUAUUCCCAAAGAAAUGCUAACGUGUUCACCAGAUGAUAACAAUACCCACCUUACAGAUACUAAUGAGCUAUUAUAAUUUCUCUGAUCUGUAAUCCAUUCAGAAAGGAUGAAAACCGUAACGAUGCAGACCUUGAAGACUUGCUGAGGCCUUGUCAUCACCAGGGGUCGUCCGGUCACCCGCCUCCUCCUCCUGCUUCCUGCAUCCACACUGCUGCAGAUCAGUUUCACUGUCCGUCGAGGCCUCACACCUGCCAGGUUUCAUUUGUUUCAGUUUUUGUUGCUGGAUCCAGUCUGAGCCUCGCUGUGGCGACACAUCCCAGAAGCCAGAGCUGCAACCAAAUGAGAGCAUAGCAUCAGGAAAUGCUCUUUCAGUGCAAGUUCAGCCAAACUACCUCUGAGUUUUAAUUCUGCGUUCAUGUAGAAGGAACAAAAUAAAACACCGGACGUAAGUGCAAGGCUCUGCUGAUGAGUGUCCUGUUACCCGUGAAGAGAGAGGCGUCCUGAAGAGGAAACUCGAGAGUGUAACAAGAAUCUGAGAGGACUCUGUAGCUCCUGUUGUCUCCUAACACAAAGACAACGACCCAUGAAGGCCGGAAGAGACCCGAUCCAAGUCCGAGACUUCACUUGUUACAGAACUCUUCCUGUUUGAGUUUCGCUGCAACAACAUUAGAUUCAGAGCAUUUUAACAUGAUUUGUUACGACGUCUACAUGUAACGGGAAAAGCAAACAUAACGCAGGACUGAAAUGCCUCCCGAAUGGAAUUUUUCCCAACUUGCCAAGAAACUUCCCCACAUCUUGUGUCCUCUAAUGGACGAUCUUCAUUCUGGUGAAGAGCUCCUUGCAUCUUUAAGCUUUAACAACGUGCAGGAGCAGCGUUUUCUGCCAACAGCUCAAACGCAGAGGGUUGACUUUCCAGUGGUUGAAAAUGAGACUCCGUCUGUGAGAUAAAAGAAAUGGCGACUGGAAGCUUUUUAAAGCCUGUUGUAGUUCCAUUUAAUAAUUACGUGGACUGAAACGGCUCGUGAGGUGUCACUUUGUGUUUUGGUGACGGAUGUCAGCCGAUCCGCCUGCUUCUGAAUCCUCCUGAGAGAAAAAGGUGAAAACAUCUAGUUCUGUCGUUAAUAAUUGAUGCGAGGGGAAUGACUGAACUGAAAUCGUGAACAAGAGCUGAAAAAAAAUCUAAUCAUCGACAGCGAUGGAGUCGGUGAGAGGACUGGAACAGCUCUGCCCACCUGGCAGCCGGCUGCAUAGGAAUCCCUUUUAUGCUGAAAGGGAUUCAGAAGUCGGUUGGAAGCCUUGAUGUGCAGCAAACCUGCUUUGAAUAUGAAUGAUUUCACCCCCGGCGAGGCGAGGCGUGCAGCGCCGGCUCAUUCUGAGUGAUUCUGCAAACUGGAAGAUGUGGAAGUUGGAAUUUAUUUUUACACAAAAAAUCCGCUCAGACAAUCCAAAUCAGUCGUCUUUAAUACAAAAUAUAAAACUGGUUCUUAUGUCAUGUUGAUACUGAUCGGUUCAUCGUUGGAUUCAGUUUCCAGUUCAGAAGAAUCGCGCCCAAACCUACAACUGAACUAGUUUAUUGUCAUCAUUGCUGUCAUUUCCAGUGCUGCCGAGUCCGACAGCCAAGCAAGACGCAGGCCGCCAUGUUGAGUUUUUACAGUGCUGAUGAACAUUUGCACGUUUUCAUAACCUUUAGCUGACUUUGCUUGCAGGGUUUAGGUUAAACUGUUCAAGAUUUCUAGUGAAAACUGAAAAUAACAUUUUAAAUUAUUAUUUCUGAUUAUAAUCCGGCUCCCUUAAGUUUUUCAUGCAGGCUGAACAUGAAGAUAGUCUCCUACACCUACCUCCUGCAGUAGCUUCUGAUAGAAAACAGACGGUGAAACUCUAGGAUCAGAAAGGUCGGACAGAUCUACGUCACCCUGUCACUAACAUUCAUGGACUCACCCAUCCUGGCUCACAACGGGGAAGGCUGUUGUUGGGUUAGCAUCCAGGAAACAGCAGAGAGCAUCUUGGCUAGUAGAAGCUAACUGUUAGCAUUAGCAACUCCACUACAUGGCUGAACUCCUCCAGGCUGGCGCAGAGCAAAUGGAGUCAGUGGUAGAGUCAGUGGGGCGACGGUGGCACAGGAGUUAAGUGCUCGCCCCGUAAUCAGAAGGUUGCAGGUUCGAGCCCCGCUCGGUCUGUCACUGUCGUUGUGUCCUUGGGCAAGACACUUAACCCACGUUGCCUGCUGGUGGUGGUCGGAGGGACCGGUGGCGCCAGUGCUCGGCAGCCUCGCCUCUGUCAGUGCGCCCCAGGGCAGCUGUGGCUACAUCGUAGUUCAUCACCACCAGUGUGUGAAUGUGUGUGAAUGGGUGAAUGACUGGUUGUGUUGUAAAGCGCCUUGGGGGGUUCCAGGACUCUAGAAGGCGCUGUAUCAAAUACAGGCCAUUUACCAUUAGAGUUGUGUUGCUGUUAUCAGUCCAAGGUGAGAUGGCCAAUUUUCAGGAAAUAAGAGUCCAGAUCUUUCUUUCUGCUCCAGCUGACUUGCACUUCCUGACACUGAGCUACCCCCGAGUACGACCUACAACGCAUUAUUUCCUAUUAGAGACGACUGCACAUGUAUUAGCUAAAUGAGUGUACCUCACCUUUAAAGAGGAGGUUCAGUAAGGGACGUAUAAAACUUUUGAAAGACGACUGGUCACUUUGAACAGUGGUGCUGUGUGCUGAUAGGCAGGGCAGGCGAUUGGUGUGUGUCCCCAGGCCAAAAGUGAAAGUAGUGACACGGUAAAAGGCUGUCACCCGGCAGCACUGUUAGCCAUCUCGCACUCCUUAAUGGGGGACCUAUGAGAACCUUGUAGCACCCCUGGCUCUGAGUUGCAGAUUCAUGCUAAAUAUGAAAAUAGUCAUUAAUCCCCAUCAUCUGCAUUAGCUGCUGGAACAAACUGGACGAGGAGAUGCUUGCAUCAAAAAAAUCCAGGCAGUUCUGUGUCACAGUAAAAAUUAGCAUUCAUGGAUCCACUUUGGCUUCUGACUGAGGAAGGCAGUUCUGAUUUGGUAGCCAGGAGAGAGCAGAGCACAGCUCAGCUAGUAGAAGCUAGCCGUUAGCAUGAGCAACUUCACAACAUGGCGAAACACAUUUGGGCUAACUAGUGGAAAUAACACAUUGUUGUAUUUUUUACCCAUGCAUGAAAAGUUAGCGGUGGCCAAAUGUUUGCAUAUCAUAACCAACGAGUAAAGCCGGGCGUACACUGCACGAUCCAGUUCUCGCAUGCGACCUGACUGCUCACACUGUACGUCUGGUAGCAACAUGUCGGCCCUAAAAAUAUGCUAAAAAUAGCAGUUUUUAAAGACUCCAAAUGCU
This is a non-coding RNA of Nothobranchius furzeri (turquoise killifish), 3640 nucleotides long. The record is from RefSeq and is a predicted model, not a curated record. Lineage: Eukaryota; Metazoa; Chordata; Actinopteri; Cyprinodontiformes; Nothobranchiidae.